This 460-nucleotide ribosomal RNA is filed under the name uncultured bacterium. RNAcentral's name for it is "partial 16S ribosomal RNA". It matches the Rfam family "Bacterial small subunit ribosomal RNA", at positions 338 to 795 of the family's 1533-position model. The record is from RNAcentral.
CCUACGGGAGGCAGCAGUGAGGAUUAUUGGUCAAUGGACGAGAGUCUGAACCAGCCAAGUAGCGUGAAGGAUGACUGCCCUAUGGGUUGUAAACUUCUUUUAUAUGGGAAUAAAAUGUUCCACGUGUGGGAUUUUGUAUGUACCAUAUGAAUAAGGAUAGGCUAACUCCGUGCCAGCAGCCGCGGUAAUACGGAGGAUCCGAGCGUUAUCCGGAUUUAUUGGGUUUAAAGGGAGCGUAGGUGGAUUGUUAAGUCAGUUGUGAAAGUUUGCGGCUCAACCGUAAAAUUGCAGUUGAAACUGGCAGUCUUGAGUACAGUAGAGGUGGGCGGAAUUCGUGGUGUAGCGGUGAAAUGCUUAGAUAUCACGAAGAACUCCGAUUGCGAAGGCAGUUCACUGGACUGCAACUGACACUGAGGCUCGAAAGUGUGGGUAUCAAACAGGAUUAGAUACCCCUGUAGUC